GUGGGGAAUAUUGGACAAUGGGCGAAAGCCUGAUCCAGCCAUGCCGCGUGUGUGAAGAAGGUCUUCGGAUUGUAAAGCACUUUAAGUUGGGAGGAAGGGCAGUAAGUUAAUACCUUGCUGUUUUGACGUUACCGACAGAAUAAGCACCGGCUAACUUCGUGCCAGCAGCCGCGGUAAUACGAAGGGUGCAAGCGUUAAUCGGAAUUACUGGGCGUAAAGCGCGCGUAGGUGGUUUUGUAAGUUGGAGGUGAAAUCCCCGGGCUCAACCUGGGAACUGCAUCCAAAACUGCAGGACUAGAGUACGGUAGAGGGUAGUGGAAUUUCCUGUGUAGCGGUGAAAUGCGUAGAUAUAGGAAGGAACACCAGUGGCGAAGGCGACUACCUGGACUGAUACUGACACUGAGGUGCGAAAGCGUGGGGAGCAAACAGGAUUAGAAACCCGAGUAGUCC
Molecule: ribosomal RNA, 450 nt
Filed under: uncultured bacterium
Lineage: Bacteria
Description: partial 16S ribosomal RNA
Rfam family: Bacterial small subunit ribosomal RNA
Source: RNAcentral